This 313-nucleotide ribosomal RNA is filed under the name uncultured bacterium. Its description in RNAcentral is "bacterial SSU rRNA". It matches the Rfam family "Bacterial small subunit ribosomal RNA", at positions 32 to 324 of the family's 1533-position model. The record is from RNAcentral.
AAUCAACGCUGGCGGCGUGCCUCAGACAUGCAAGUCGAACGCUGCUGUUCGCCUUCGGGUGGACAGCGGAGUGGCGCACGGGUGAGUAACACGUAGGUAAUCUACCUUUGGGUGGGGAAUAACAGCCGGAAACGGCUGCUAAUACCGCAUAAUGCAGCGGCAUCACAUGAUGACAGUUGUUAAAGCGAGGGAUCGCAAGACCUCGCGCCUGAAGAGGAGCCUGCGGCAGAUUAGGUAGUUGGUGAGGUAAUGGCUCACCAAGCCUGCGAUCUGUAACCGGCUGAGAGGGCGGUCGGUCACACUGACACUGACA